RNAcentral lists this long non-coding RNA (427 nucleotides) under Phoenix dactylifera (date palm). RNAcentral's name for it is "long non-coding RNA (PDAC_LNC021034)". Lineage: Eukaryota; Viridiplantae; Streptophyta; Magnoliopsida; Arecales; Arecaceae. The record is from RNAcentral.
UGAUUAGAUCUGUGGGCUGGUUUGGAUUGGGCCCGAAAUCUGAUCUGAACCUGUUAUCUGGUUUGGUUCAAUUGGGCCUAAUCUGUGUUGGGCCACAAUUGACUUGGGUUUAAAGGGUUCUGAUUUUAGGGUCUAUGUUUGAUCUUAGGGGCCCAUUCUUGGAUCUAUGAACUUAGGAGUUUAAGGAAUUGGAAAUAGUUUAAAAUUAUGUUUCUUAGUUAAUUAAAUAAUUAAUGUUUAUGUUUUAAUCAGGGGUUCGUGAUAUCUGUGGCAGAAAUUUUUAAGCGAACCCAGGUAGGUGAUCUAUUGCUUUAAAGUAAAAUUCUAACAUGUAUCUUGCAUAUGUUGAUUUAUUGAUUUAUUAUUAGCAAUAUGUGUUAGAAUUAAAAUUAAAUAUUUAAUUUCAUAAACUGUUAUGCGCUUUACU